RNAcentral lists this long non-coding RNA (5591 nucleotides) under Triticum aestivum (bread wheat). Its description in RNAcentral is "long non-coding RNA (TAES_LNC004331)". Lineage: Eukaryota; Viridiplantae; Streptophyta; Magnoliopsida; Poales; Poaceae. The record is from RNAcentral.
UCCAUCUCCCUCCCCACACCACUUCUUCCAUCUCCGGCCGCCGCCGCGGCCAGGCCAGCGUGGCACCGCGCCAACCUGCCACCGCCGCCAUCCAUCACCACCACUCCCCGCUUCACCGCGCCAUCAUCACCACCGCACCACUGAAAACCACUGCGCCUCCAUCUUCACUAAGCCAUCCAUCCACCAUCACCAGCGCCACAUUGUGUGACCCACCAGACGGCCUGGCUGGACCUCCGCGCGAGAGUGCCCCUGCUGCCGUCCUUCGUCCUUCGCCUACUGCUGCUCUUCUUUCCCCACGCCUCUGCUGCUCCUCCUCUCAACACUGCUGUUGCUCCUCUACUUAAAACUGCUGCUGCUCCCUCUCCCACAUCCCUGCUGCUACACUCCUUCUCUAAACCUCUCUCUUGCUUCUUGUUGAUGCUCCUCUAUCCAUUCCCACACCGCUGCCUCUUGUUCUUCUCCGAUGAAACUGCUCCUCCUCCUCCUCCCUCUCUAAGCCACCUGUUGCUGCACCUGCUCUCCAACGCCCCUGAUGCCUAGUUCUCCUCUUUCCCUUUCCUUUCUACUGCUAAUCUGAACCCACUACUUCUUCUCUGAUCCCACCUGCUGUUAUUUCUAUGAACUUGAGAGUUGUAAGACUUUGAAAUGUCCAAAUUUGAACUAGUACUGGUAUGCUAGAUAUAUGUAUGUUUAUUCCAGAGACAUGGUGUUCUUGCUUAUUUUGUAGCUCAGUGUGAACUUGUACUAUUGACACUCUGUUUGUUUGUGUUGAAACUAGUUAAAUUCAUCACUGUGUAUUGCUUGCCGUAGAACCUUGUUUCAUUUUGUAGUCUCUGUGUUAGUUAUCUACCAGUGUAUAUGUGUUGUGAUAUGAAGUAUUUCCAUUAUGUCCCAUAAUCAUGUUUCCUCAAUCCUUUUCAUGUGAGAUAAAUUUAUGUGUUCUUAUCUUGUGACUUCCCUCUUGUCGUUGAUGUUCGUCUGUGUUACUGUUUUAGAUUCUCAAGCCUAAUGAAAAUACGAAAAAGUUAGUGAGUAAUAUCUUAAUCUCCCUGUGCUAUUUGCAUUUUAUUUGUGAAAGAUAUUCGGGUACAACCUUGUUUAGUUUAGUUUUAUUUUCCUGCUAUCAUACCACUCCUAAUUGAGUGAUCUAGCUUUAGCCGAGCAUAGUCGCUGAUUUGCCUAGUCCCUGUGAGGAACACGACAUCCGUAGUUUGGGAAAUAUAUUCCACUACAUUUACAUUUGAUCAUUUUGGCGCCGUCGUCGGGGACUAGCGUCGAGCGAUGGUGUGAAGCUAUAGACUAGGCUUAGUAUAGUUUUUGUUUAAAUUUCCAGUCAAUUUAUUUCUAUGCUUCUUUUACCUUUUUUUCUUUUUGUUGCUUCAGCUUAUUAGGAUACUAACUUUCUGACUAGUGUUUACUGUUUCUGAGUUUGCGUAGCAAAAUCUAAACUAAUUACAGGUUGUUCUAUAGUUACACUCGGUUAAGAUGGCAUUGCUUCGUGAUCUUUCGAUGCCCAAAAGUCAAUGCUAUAUCACAGGACCGGUUUGGCCAACUAUGGAGGCAGAGAACUUCGAGCUGAAACCUAGUCUUAUUGCUUUGGUUCAAAAACAUCAGUUUGGAGGGUUGCCUACUGAAGAUCCUUACGGGCACUUGCUCCGAGUCCUGUAGUAUUCAGAUACAGUAAAGUACCAUGGAGUUCCUCAAUAUGCUAUCAAGUGUAUGCUGUUCACUCUCUCUCUCUCUCUCUCUGUGAUGAUGCUCGUGCUUGGUACCAAUCCUUGCCAUCAAGGUCAUACAGUUGGAAUGAGAUAUCACAAGCAUUCUUGGAUAAAUAUUUCCCACUACACAAGCAGUCUGCGAUUCAAGAUGAGAUCUUCAACUUUGUUCAGCGUGAAGGCGAGAGUUUGUAUGAUGCUUGGGAGAGGUACAAAGCCUUGUUCAGGAGAUGUCUUAAUCAUUGGCUCGAGAGAUGGUUAGAGCUGCAGAUAUUCUAUAGAGGAUUGACUUCGGACACUCGAGCUUACGUUGAUAUGGCAUCGGGUGGAGCUAUUACAAACAAGACACUUGAUGAUGCUUUUCUGCUGAUUGAGAACAUAGCCUUCCACCAACUUCAGUGGUACAAUGAGAAGCCCACCUCUGAUUUAGCUGCUUGCUUGCAACAAAUCACUUCAUCUCAGCAAGAUUCUCUUACACAAAAACCUGAACCUCUAUCUCAGUGUGACAAGAUUGAGCUUGCAUGGAUUAUCUUUGACGAUGAUGAUACCAUUCUAGUUGACACGCACGCUACAGAUCAUAUGGAUACUAGUGUUGGAGAUUCAGUUUUGCAUUGUGAUGAUUCUUCCAUGGAUGAGCCAGAGCUGCAGUUAGUUGCUUUUGAUAUUGAGGAGACACCUUUACUUGAUAUUGAUCAUGUGCUUCUAUAGCAAGAUAUGGAGAAGUUCGCCUUCGAUGAUGUUAGCUGCAUUGAUUCCUCAACACUUGAGCCUGAGAUGGAGAGCUUCAUGGUUGAUUAUGGUGAGGUGGAUUCAGAUGUCAAGGAGCCAAGCUCUACUAUUUCACUUGUUGACACGAGUCCGGUGGAAAUUGCUACUACCGCACCUCACUUGGUAUCUUCAGUUGAGGUAGUCCUGAACCUUCUUCCUAACUAUCUCAGGUAUGAUCGCAACUUUCUCGACAAGAUAUGCCAUAUCAUGGAUACUGCCUAUGCACCAUGCGAUUUGUUGAUGAUAUCUAUUUAUCAUAUGCUCAAUAGAUAUGCUUAUGUGAUAGGAUACUCUAUUUAUGACUUAGAGGGCAUUGUCCCUAUCACUUGUAUUGGCUUGUUUGUUGAGUGUUCUUUCAGGUUUAUGCUUGUGCACCUUCAUUGCGGGCUGAUCAAGUUCGAGAUGACAUCCCAUGGGAUCCUGGUGGAUUCACGGCAUGGUGAUGAGGAGAAGCAAGGAGCACACAUGAGGAAGAGCGAAGUUGGAGCAUGCAUGAGGAAGCAAAAGGAGAGAGUUGCAGUUCAGAGAGCGAUUGUGCGAGACCUACAUCAUAUAUGCCCGGUGAGCUGUUUCAUGACCCCAAUCUGAAUACCAUCAUACAUUAUACAAGUUGCAAUCAAUUGCUAUUUGGGUUGCUUGAGCCAUUUCUUAAAUGUUGUCCCACUUAAUUUUAUUUGACAUAUGCUGCUUGAUGAGAAUAUGCGAACUGAUUGUUGAAUGCCAUGUAAACUAGUGAUCUACAUAUUGCCUGCUUUGCUGAAAUUAGUGAAAGCUAUUAGUUUUGAGUGCUCAAAUCCCUAGUACACUAGAAAACUUAAUCAUUUUCUGCUUUUACCUCGAUACACCUAGAUCAUUAAGUUCCAGAUGCUGAGUUUGUGCCUAAUGUGUUCCCAUUCAGAGCAAUCACUUACCACUAUGGAUUAGCAUCCUAUGUUCUCUGGAUCGGUAGCAUGUGAACUAGACAUGGAUGAGUGAUGAUUCUUGUUUUUGCUCAUUUGAAAAAUGAAAAAAAUAUCUUAUAAUGAAUAUGUAAGUUUGACUACCUACAGUAGCAUGUCAUGUUCCCUGGAUCGGUGGCAUGUGAAAUCUGGUAGCUUGGACAGUAAUAAAUAAAAAAUGCAAUAUUUGUUGAACCAGGUGUAUACCAUGUUCUUGGGAUCGGUGGUAUGUUCCUUUGGGGAGACAAACAAAAAAACUAUAUAAUUGGUCGAGCCAGGUGUAUACCAUGUUCUCGGGAUCGGUGGUAUGUUCCUUUGGUGAGACUGAUAAAAUAUUAUCAUUGCUUCCUUCAAAUUCAAUAAGUGGUUCUACCACAAUGUUGUGUUCCUAGUAAUAGGUGUCUCUCGGGAUCAUGCUCUCUUUAGGAACCUUUUGGCACAAUCCGCAUUUAAACUGGUUGAUCUUCUUUUAUCAUUGUAGAAGUUUAAAAUGAUUGAUUCUACUAGUAUCCUACUGCUUUGUAACACUCUUAACCAUUGAUUUUCACUGCUAAGUCAAAAGAAUGCAUUGUUUGGAGAUCUACUUCACUUGGACAUUCUCUAGUCAGCUCACUAUUCACCAUCUAGCUAUUGCCCUUAUGCCUUUUCUUGAGGACAAGUAAAGAUUUAAGUGUGGGGGAACUUGAUAAGCACGUUUCUUAUAUAUAAUUUUGGCAUACAAAUAUACCAUUGUUGAGAUCUAACCAUUAAUCUUGCUAUGAACUGUUGCAUAUUUGGAUAAAAAUCAUAUAAAGAACCAUUUACUAGUCAUUUGUUUCUUUUGCAGAAAAGUGCGAGAAGGCACUAUAAACUUCAAGAUCCGGACUAAAGUAGCUAAGAGAACGAAGAAGAGGAGGAAGAAUGGACUUGUGUGAGAAGAAACGAAGUAACCAGGGGGCCAACUAUGGAAGAGAAGAUCAUCUUGUGCUAAAAGUAAAGGAGGAGGGCCAUAUUGCAAAAGGUGCAGAUCAGAGGAGGGGAAUCGAAAUCCCUAGCAGCAGCCCGAUCCCCUUUUGAGCCUGGCAUCUCCAUCUCUCUCCCCCUCACCACUUCUUCCAUCUCCGGCCGCGGCGGUGGCCAGGCCCGCGUGGCGGCACGCCAACCACCCACCGCCACCAUCCAUCACCACUACUCCCCGCUUCACCGCGCCAUCAUCACCACUGAACACCACCGCGCCUCCACCUUCACUGCGCCAUCCAUCCACCAUCACCAGCGCCACAUUGCGCGACCCACCAGACAGCCUUGCUGCACCUCCGUGCGAGAGUGCCCCUGCUGCCGUCCUUCGUCCUUCGCCUGCUGAUACUCUUCUUUCCCCACGCCUCUGCUCCUCCUCCUUUCAACACUACUGCUGCUCCUCUACUUAAAACUGCUGCUGCUCCCUCUCCCACGUCCCUGCUGCUGCACUCCUUCUCUGAACCUCUCUCUUGCAGCUUGUUGCUGCUCCUCUAUCCAUCCCCACGCUGCUGCCUCUUCUUCUCCCAUGAAACUCCUCCUCCUCCUCUCUCUCUAAGCCACCUUCUGUUGCACCUGCUCUCCAACGCCCCUGAUGCCCAGUUGCUCCUCUUUCCCUUUCCUUUCUGCUGCUAAUCUGAACCCACUACUUCUCUGAUCCCACCUGCUGUUAUUUCUAUGAACUUGAGAGUUGUAAGACUUUGAAAUGUCCAGAUUUGAACUAGUAUUGGUACGCUAGAUAUAUGUAUGUUUAGUCCAGAGACAUGGUGUUCUUGCUUAUUUUGUAGCUUAGUGUGAACUAGUACUAUUGACACUAUUCGUUUGUGUUGAAAUUAGUUAAAUUCAUCACUGUGUAUUGCUUGCCGUAGAACCUUGUUUCAUUUUGUAGUCUCUAUGUUAGUUAUCUACCAGUGGUAUAUGUGUUGUGAUAUGAAGUAUUUCCAUUAUGUCCCAUAAUCAUGUUUCCUCAAUCUUUUUCAUGUGAGAUAAAUUUAUGUGUUCUUAUCUUGUGACUUCCCUCUUGUCGUUGAUGUUCGUCUGUGUUACUGUUUUAGUUUCUCAAGCCUAAUGAAAAUACGAAAAAGACAGUGAGUAAUAUCUUAAUCUCCCUGUGCUAUUUGCAUUUUAUUUGUGAAAGAUAUUCGGGUACAACCUUGUUUAGUUUACUUUUAUUUUCCUG